CCCUUAGAUGUUCUGGGCUGCACGCGCGCUACACUGAAGCGUUCAACGAGUAUUUCACCUUGCCCGGGAGGGUUGGGUAAUCUUUUUAAAACGCUUCGUGAUGGGGAUAGAUUAUUGCAAUUAUUAAUCUUCAACGAGGAAUUCCUAGUAAGCGCGAGUCAUCAGCUCGUGCUGAUUACGUCCCUGCCCUUUGUACACACCGCCCGUCGCUCCUACCGAUGGGGUGAUCCGGUGAAUGAUUCGGACUUCCGCAGUGCUAGCUACUAGCUUUGUGGAAGAAAGUCUUGUGAACCUUAUCACUUGGAGGAAGGAGAAGUCGUAACA
This 324-nucleotide ribosomal RNA is filed under the name uncultured eukaryote. Its description in RNAcentral is "partial 18S ribosomal RNA". It matches the Rfam family "Eukaryotic small subunit ribosomal RNA", at positions 1470 to 1796 of the family's 1831-position model. The record is from RNAcentral.